ACGUCGAUCAGUGGUGCGUGAUCCAAAUGUAAGCAGAAAGCGUGACGGCGGCGCUCGUUAAUCGUCGUGUUUUUCUGCGAUCUUAACUCUUGCAUCGCUUUUUCACUCCAUACCAUUGGGCCAACAAACUUCUUGUCUUCAGUCAUGCAAGACAAUGUUUUCAUAUUUGUCAUCAGUGUAUGCAAGAAAGCCCAAUCACAGCAUCACAGCAGACCAAUGUCAGGCAUGGAUUCACCAUACCAGAAGGAUCUUAACAAGAUGCUUGGCUGAUGAAAACAUCCAAUAUGAUGUGGCUGAGAAUCUGCGGCCAAAUCUACAAGACCUAUGUGACUACCUCUGGAAGCUCAUCAAGAGAAUGCCAAGAGUGUGCAAAGCAAUAAUCAAAGCUAAAGGUGGCUUCUAGAAUAUGACAUAUUUUCAGUUGUUGCACACUUUUUUUUUUUGGUUAUGUACAUAAUUCCACAUGUGUUAAUUCAUAGUUUUGAUGCCUUCAGUGUGAACCUACAAUUUUCAUAGUCAUGAAGAUAAAGAAAACUCUUUGAAUGAGAAGGUGUGUCCAAACCUGAUGUGAUCUAAUAUUCAGAAAAUAUUAAUAAUAAUAAUCAUUCAUUC
RNAcentral lists this long non-coding RNA (612 nucleotides) under Danio rerio (zebrafish). Its description in RNAcentral is "lncRNA si:ch211-128n12.5 (ENSDARG00000099831.2)". Lineage: Eukaryota; Metazoa; Chordata; Actinopteri; Cypriniformes; Danionidae. The record is from RNAcentral.